AGAGUUUGAUCAUGGCUCAGAAUCAACGCUGGCGGCGCUAACACAUGCAAGUCGCACGAGAAAGCCGGGGCAACCUGGCAAGUACAGUGGCGUACGGGUGAGUAACACGUGGAUCAUCUACCUCUUGGUGGGGAAUAACCCUGGGAAACCGGGGCUAAUACCGCAUAAGCCUGGAAAGGGAAAGCGUCGUCCUCAAAAAACGACGCGCCGAGAGAGGAGUCCGCGGCCGAUUAGCUAGUUGGUAGGGUAACAGCCUACCAAGGCAAUGAUCGGUAGCCGGCCUGAGAGGGCACACGGCCACACUGGCACUGAAACACGGGCCAGACUCCUACGGGAGGCAGCAGUGGGGAAUCUUGCACAAUGGAGGAAACUCUGAUGCAGCGACGCCGCGUGAGCUGAAGCCCUUCGGGGUGUAAAGCUCUUUCGACGGGAACGAUAAUGACGGUACCCGGAGAAGAAGCUGCGGCUAACUACGUGCCAGCAGCCGCGGUAAUACGUAGCAGCAAGCGUUGUUCGGAAUUACUGGGCGUAAAGAGUGUGUAGGCGGUUCUCUAAGUUCGGGUGAAAUCUCCCGGCUUAACUGGAGGGUGCCCGGAAACUGGAGGGCUUGAGUAUGGGAGAGGAAAGCGGAUUCCUGGUGUAGCGAAAUGCGUAGAUAUCAGGAGGAANNCCUGCGGUGUAGACAGCUUUCUGGACCAUCACUGACGCUGAGACACGAAAGCGUGGGUAGCAAACAGGAUUAGAUACCCUAGUAGUCC
RNAcentral lists this ribosomal RNA (758 nucleotides) under uncultured bacterium. Its description in RNAcentral is "bacterial SSU rRNA". It matches the Rfam family "Bacterial small subunit ribosomal RNA", at positions 8 to 796 of the family's 1533-position model. The record is from RNAcentral.